RNAcentral lists this ribosomal RNA (495 nucleotides) under uncultured bacterium. RNAcentral's name for it is "partial 16S ribosomal RNA". The stretch from base 16 to 379 matches the Rfam family "Bacterial small subunit ribosomal RNA", at positions 43 to 396 of the family's 1533-position model. The record is from RNAcentral.
GAUGAACGCUGGCGGCGUGCCUAAUACAUGCAAGUCGAGCGAACGGACGAGAAGCUUGCUUCUCUGAUGUUAGCGGCGGACGGGUGAGUAACACGUGGAUAACCUACCUAUAAGACUGGGAUAACUUCGGGAAACCGUAGCUAAUACCGGAUAAUAUUUUGAACCGCAUGGUUCAAAAGUGAAAGACGGUCUUGCUGUCACUUAUAGAUGGAUCCGCGCUGCAUUAGCUAGUUGGUAAGGUAACGGCUUACCAAGGCAACGAUGCAUAGCCGACCUGAGGGGGGGACCGCCAACAUGGAAAAAGAAACGGGGCCGAGACCCAAGGGGGGGACCGAGGGGGAGAAUUUCCCGAAGGGGGGAAAGGCGAAAGGGAGAAACGGAGGGGGAGAAGGGAGGGUUUGCGGAUGGAAAACCUUUUUUAUGGGGAAAAAAAAAAGGGAAAAGAAAGUGGGAACAUUGAGGGGGACCAAAAAAAAAAGCCCGGGGAAAACAAAG